UAGGGAAUCUUCCACAAUGGACGAAAGUCUGAUGGAGCAACGCCGCGUGAGUGAAGAAGGUUUUCGGAUCGUAAAGCUCUGUUGUUGGUGAAGAAGGAUAGAGGCAGUAACUGGUCUUUAUUUGACGGUAAUCAACCAGAAAGUCACGGCUAACUACGUCCAG
RNAcentral lists this ribosomal RNA (163 nucleotides) under uncultured bacterium. RNAcentral describes it as "partial 16S rRNA". It matches the Rfam family "Bacterial small subunit ribosomal RNA", at positions 355 to 511 of the family's 1533-position model. The record is from RNAcentral.